Molecule: non-coding RNA, 45 nt
Organism: Schistosoma mattheei
Lineage: Eukaryota; Metazoa; Platyhelminthes; Trematoda; Strigeidida; Schistosomatidae
Source: Rfam
ACCUAGCUGACGAGUCCCGAAUAGGACGAAACGCGGAUCCUGGAU